This 951-nucleotide ribosomal RNA is filed under the name Solanum lycopersicum (tomato). RNAcentral's name for it is "Bacterial small subunit ribosomal RNA". It matches the Rfam family "Bacterial small subunit ribosomal RNA". The record is from Rfam by way of RNAcentral. Lineage: Eukaryota; Viridiplantae; Streptophyta; Magnoliopsida; Solanales; Solanaceae.
AAUAUGAAUAUAUAUAUAUAUAUAUAUAUAUAUAUAUAUAUAUAGCGUCUGUAGGUGGCUUUUUAAGUCCGCCGUCAAAUCCCAAGGCUCAACCCUGGACAGGCGAUGGAAACUACAAAGCUGGAGUAUGGUAGGGGCAAAGGGAAUAUCCAGUGGAGCGGUGAAAUGCGUAGUGAUCGAAAAGAACAGCAACGGCGAAAGCACUCUGCUGGGCAGACACUGACACUGAGAGACGAAAGAUAGGGAAGCAAAUGGGAUUAGAUACCCCAUAGUCCUAGCCGUAAACGAUGGAUACUAGGCGUUGUGCGUAUCGAUCCAUGCAGUGUUGUAGCUAACGCGUUAGGUAUCCCGCCCGGGGAGUACAUUCGCAAGAAUGAAACUCAAAGGAAUUGAUGGGGGCCUGCACAAACGGUGGAGCAUGUAGUUUAAUUCGAUACAACACGCAAAACCUUACCAGGGCUUGACAUGCUCCGAAUCCUCUUGAAAGAGAGGGGUGCCUUCGAGAACACAGACACAGGUGGUGCAUGGGUGUCGUCAGCUCGGGUUGUAAGGUGUUGGGUUAAGUCCCGUAACGAGCGCAACCGUCGUGUUUAGUUUCCAUUGUUGAGUUUGGAACCCUGAACAGACUGCCGGCGAUAAGCCGGAGGAAGGUGAGGAUGAUGUCAAGUCAUCAUGCCCCUUAUGCCCUGGGCGACACACGUGCUACAAUGGUCGGGACAAUGGGUCGUGAUCCCGCGAGGGUGAGCUAACCCCCAAAACCCGUCCUCAAUUUGGAUUGCAGGCUGCAACUCGCCUGCAUGAAGCCGAAAUCGCUAGUAAUCGCUGGUCAGCCAUACGGCGGUGAAUUCGUUCCCGGGCCUUUGUACACACCGCCCGUCCACUAUGCAUACAUACAUACAUACAUACAUACAUACAUACAUAUAUAUAUAUAUAUAUAUAUAAACCUUCAAU